GCUCCUGUAGCUCAGUUGGUUAGAGCCACCCGCUCAUAACGGGUCGGUCGUAGGUUCGAGUCCUACCGGGAGCACCA
This 77-nucleotide transfer RNA is filed under the name bacterium. RNAcentral's name for it is "tRNA-Ile". It matches the Rfam family "tRNA". From Rfam's summary of the family: Transfer RNA (tRNA) molecules are approximately 80 nucleotides in length. Their secondary structure includes four short double-helical elements and three loops (D, anti-codon, and T loops). The record is from RNAcentral.